GAAGAGAGAGAUUGUGGAUGACGAUUGGUGUUUGAUGGGACGGCGGCGAUCGGCUCCGCCGAUGAAGAAGGUGGACAGUAGAAGGCGGAGAUUCAACCGGAAAACUGUCUCAACGCGUAAAUCUGGCGGCUACGACAACGAUCGGACUCCGCAUUAUCUCGGUUCCAACCGCCGUCUCACGAUCAGAACAAUGAUCCAUUCCAAGAAAGCCAAUUGCAGCGCCGUCGGUUCCUGAUUACAACAUCUUGUAGUGGCCUCACUAUGAUCUCAUUUCUCGCUGCGAUGACGUCUCUGUUUCUACCUGCUCCCGCCGCUGCUUUGAAUCUCGGCAUUUGUAAGCACGCUACGCAACAUUGUUUCGUUGAGAGCAGGAACGAAGGAUUGGCUGAAGGAGCAAUAGAAGAAGGCCUCCACGUUCCUCUUGGCGCCAAUUGAUGCCUCCAGAGAUAGCCUUCGCGCCGUUCUACUUUUGCUUUCUAAUGCGUUCGAUUACUCGAACAAGGAUAUGGAGAAUGUUCGAAGAAUGCUCGUGUCUGUUGUAAGGCAUUGCGUUUUGAAUGACAGGAAUUCCUUUGUUCAAUUUCAAGGAAAUUGCAGCCAAUGCGUUCGAUUAUUCGAACAAGGAUAUGGAGAAUGUUCGAAGAAUGCUCAUGUCUGUUGUAAGGCAUUGCGUUUUGAACGACAGGCAUUCCUUUGUUCAAUUUCAAGCAAGUUGCAGCCAAUGCGUUCGAUUAUUCGAACAAGGAUAUGGAGAAUGUUCGAAGAAUGCUCAUGUCUGUUGUAAGGCAUUGCGUUUUGAAUGACAGGAAUUCCUUUGUUCAAUGUCAAGCAAGUUGCCACCAAUUUGUUCGAUUACUCAAACAAGGAUAUGGAAAAUGUUCGAAGAAUGCUCAUGUCUGUUGCAAGGCAUUGCGUUUUGAACAACAGGAAUUCCUUUGUUCAAUUUCAAGCAAGUUGCAGCCAAUGCAUUCAAUUACUCGAACAAGGAUAUGGAGACUGUUCGAAGAAUGCUCAUGUCUGUUGCAAGGCAUUGCGUUUUGAAGGACAGGAAUUCCUUUGUUCAAUUUCAAGCAAGUUGCAGCCAAUGCAUUCAAUUACUCGAACAAGGAUAUGGAGAAUGUUCGAAGAAUGCUCAUGUCUGUUGCAAGGCAUUGCGUUUUGAACGACAGGAAUUCCUGUGUUCAAUUUCAAGCAAGCACAGGAGUCGAGAUUGUCUUUAUUCGAUCGGUGGUAGCAGAGGCGAACCAGAAGCCUGCACCAAAUACAAGCGGCAGCAAGGUUUUCCAUCAUCAGGG
Molecule: long non-coding RNA, 1295 nt
Organism: Cucurbita pepo subsp. pepo (vegetable marrow)
Lineage: Eukaryota; Viridiplantae; Streptophyta; Magnoliopsida; Cucurbitales; Cucurbitaceae
Source: RefSeq, a predicted model, not a curated record